GGUUAAGCGACUAAGCGUACACGGUGGAUGCCCUGGCAGUCAGAGGCGAUGAAGGGCGUGCUAAUCUGCGAUAAGCGCCGGUAAGGUGAUAUGAACCGUUAUAACCGGCGAUACCCGAAUGGGGAAACCCAGUGUGACUCGUCACACUAUCAUUAACUGAAUCCAUAGGUUAAUGAGGCGAACCGGGGGAACUGAAACAUCUAAGUACCCCGAGGAAAAGAAAUCAACCGAGAUUCCCCCAGUAGCGGCGAGCGAACGGGGAGGAGCCCAGAGCCUGAAUCAGCAUGUGUGUUAGUGGAAGCGUCUGGAAAGGCGCGCGAUACAGGGUGACAGCCCCGUACACAAAAGCGCAUGUGCUGUGAGCUCGAUGAGUAGGGCGGGACACGUGGUAUCCUGUCUGAAUAUGGGGGAAAUUCAUCCUCCAAGGCUAAAUACUCCUGACUGACCGAUAGUGAACCAGUACCGUGAGGGAAAGGCGAAAAGAACCCCGGCGAGGGGAGUGAAAAAGAACCUGAAACCGUGUACGUACAAGCAGUGGGAGCACAGGUUUACCUGUGUGACUGCGUACCUUUUGUAUAAUGGGUCAGCGACUUAUAUUCUGUAGCAAGGUUAACCGAAUAGGGGAGCCGGAGGGAAACCGAGUCUUAACCGGGCGUUAAGUUGCAGGGUAUAGACCCGAAACCCGGUGAUCUAGCCAUGGGCAGGUUGAAGGUUGGGUAACACUAACUGGAGGACCGAACCGACUAAUGUUGAAAAAUUAGCGGAUGACCUGUGGCUGGGGGUGAAAGGCCAAUCAAACCGGGAGAUAGCUGGUUCUCCCCGAAAGCUAUUUAGGUAGCGCCUCGUGAAUUCAUCUCCGGGGGUAGAGCACUGUUUCGGCUAGGGGGCCAUCCCGGCUUACCAACCCGAUGCAAACUGCGAAUACCGGAGAAUGUUAUCACGGGAGACACACGGCGGGUGCUAACGUCCGUCGUGAAGAGGGAAACAACCCAGACCGCCAGCUAAGGUCCCAAAGUCAUGGUUAAGUGGGAAACGAUGUGGGAAGGCCCAGACAGCCAGGAUGUUGGCUUAGAAGCAGCCAUCAUUUAAAGAAAGCGUAAUAGCUCACUGGUCGAGUCGGCCUGCGCGGAAGAUGUAACGGGGCUAAACCAUGCACCGAAGCUGCGGCAGCGAACGUAUCACUUAAAGCGAUUCAGCGGGUUACGAUUGACGGAGCGAAGCGACGUCAAAGCGUAUACAAAGUCGAGUCGGUUUAAGGAUACGUUCGUUGGGUAGGGGAGCGUUCUGUAAGCCUGUGAAGGUGUGUCGUGAGGCAUGCUGGAGGUAUCAGAAGUGCGAAUGCUGACAUAAGUAACGAUAAAGCGGGUGAAAAGCCCGCUCGCCGGAAGACCAAGGGUUCCUGUCCAACGUUAAUCGGGGCAGGGUGAGUCGACCCCUAAGGCGAGGCCGAAAGGCGUAGUCGAUGGGAAACGGGUUAAUAUUCCCGUACUUGGUGUUACUGCGAAGGGGGGACGGAGAAGGCUAUGUUGGCCGGGCGACGGUUGUCCCGGUUUAAGCGUGUAGGCUGGUUUUCCAGGCAAAUCCGGAAAAUCAAGGCUGAGGCGUGAUGACGAGGCACUACGGUGCUGAAGCAACAAAUGCCCUGCUUCCAGGAAAAGCCUCUAAGCAUCAGGUAACAUCAAAUCGUACCCCAAACCGACACAGGUGGUCAGGUAGAGAAUACCAAGGCGCUUGAGAGAACUCGGGUGAAGGAACUAGGCAAAAUGGUGCCGUAACUUCGGGAGAAGGCACGCUGACACGUAGGUGAAGUGAUUUACUCAUGGAGCUGAAGUCAGUCGAAGAUACCAGCUGGCUGCAACUGUUUAUUAAAAACACAGCACUGUGCAAACACGAAAGUGGACGUAUACGGUGUGACGCCUGCCCGGUGCCGGAAGGUUAAUUGAUGGGGUCAGCGCAAGCGAAGCUCCUGAUCGAAGCCCCGGUAAACGGCGGCCGUAACUAUAACGGUCCUAAGGUAGCGAAAUUCCUUGUCGGGUAAGUUCCGACCUGCACGAAUGGCGUAAUGAUGGCCAGGCUGUCUCCACCCGAGACUCAGUGAAAUUGAACUCGCUGUGAAGAUGCAGUGUACCCGCGGCAAGACGGAAAGACCCCGUGAACCUUUACUAUAGCUUGACACUGAACAUUGAGCCUUGAUGUGUAGGAUAGGUGGGAGGCUUUGAAGCGUGGACGCCAGUCUGCGUGGAGCCGACCUUGAAAUACCACCCUUUAAUGUUUGAUGUUCUAACGUGGACCCGUGAUCCGGGUUGCGGACAGUGUCUGGUGGGUAGUUUGACUGGGGCGGUCUCCUCCUAAAGAGUAACGGAGGAGCACGAAGGUUGGCUAAUCCUGGUCGGACAUCAGGAGGUUAGUGCAAUGGCAUAAGCCAGCUUGACUGCGAGCGUGACGGCGCGAGCAGGUGCGAAAGCAGGUCAUAGUGAUCCGGUGGUUCUGAAUGGAAGGGCCAUCGCUCAACGGAUAAAAGGUACUCCGGGGAUAACAGGCUGAUACCGCCCAAGAGUUCAUAUCGACGGCGGUGUUUGGCACCUCGAUGUCGGCUCAUCACAUCCUGGGGCUGAAGUAGGUCCCCAAGGGUAUGGCUGUUCGCCAUUUAAAGUGGUACGCGAGCUGGGUUUAGAACGUCGUGAGACAGUUCGGUCCCUAUCUGCCGUGGGCGCUGGAGAACUGAGGGGGGCUGCUCCUAGUACGAGAGGACCGGAGUGGACGCAUCACUGGUGUUCGGGUUGUCAUGCCAAUGGCACUGCCCGGUAGCUAAAUGCGGAAGAGAUAAGUGCUGAAAGCAUCUAAGCACGAAACUUGCCCCGAGAUGAGUUCUCCCUGAGACUUAAAGUCUCCUGAAGGAACGUUGAAGACGACGACGUUGAUAGGCCGGGUGUGUAAGCGCAGCGAUGCGUUGAGCUAACCGGUACUAAUGAACCGUGAGGCUUAACCUU
This 2990-nucleotide ribosomal RNA is filed under the name Salmonella enterica subsp. enterica serovar Infantis. RNAcentral's name for it is "23S ribosomal RNA". It matches the Rfam family "Bacterial large subunit ribosomal RNA". The record is from RNAcentral. Lineage: Bacteria; Pseudomonadati; Pseudomonadota; Gammaproteobacteria; Enterobacterales; Enterobacteriaceae.